Molecule: ribosomal RNA, 440 nt
Filed under: uncultured bacterium
Lineage: Bacteria
Description: partial 16S ribosomal RNA
Rfam family: Bacterial small subunit ribosomal RNA
Source: RNAcentral
CCUACGGGUGGCUGCAGUGGGGAAUAUUGCACAAUGGGGGAAACCCUGAUGCAGCGACGCCGCGUGGGUGAAGAAGCGCCUCGGCGCGUAAAGCCCUGUCAGCAGGGAAGAAAAUGACGGUACCUGAAGAAGAAGCCCCGGCUAACUACGAGCCAGCAGCCGCGGUAAUACGUAGGGCGGAAGCGUUAUCCGGAUUUACUGGGUGUAAAGGGGGCGCAGACGGCGAUGCAAGCCAGGAGGGAAAGCCCAGGGCCUAACCCCGGGACUGCUCUUGAAACUGCGUGGCUAGAGUGCAGGAGGGGUAGGCGGAAUGCCUGGUGUAGCGGUGAAAUGCGUAGAUAUCAGGAGGAACACCGGUGGCGAAGGCGGCCUGCUGGACUGCAACUGACGUUGAGGCACGAAAGCGUGGGGAGCAAACAGGAUUAGAUACCCGUGUAGUC